RNAcentral lists this ribosomal RNA (497 nucleotides) under uncultured bacterium. RNAcentral's name for it is "partial 16S ribosomal RNA". It matches the Rfam family "Bacterial small subunit ribosomal RNA", at positions 28 to 507 of the family's 1533-position model. The record is from RNAcentral.
GAUGAACGCUGGCGGCGUGCCUAAUACAUGCAAGUCGAGCGAACAGAUGAGGAGCUUGCUCCUCUGACGUUAGCGGCGGACGGGUGAGUAACACGUGGAUAACCUACCUAUAAGACUGGGAUAACUUCGGGAAACCGGAGCUAAUACCGGAUAAUAUAUUGAACCGCAUGGUUCAAUAGUGAAAGACGGUUUUGCUGUCACUUAUAGAUGGAUCCGCGCCGCAUUAGCUAGUUGUUAAGGUAACGGCUUACCAAGGCGACGAUGCGUAGCCGACCUGAGAGGGUGAUCGGCCACACUGGAACUGAGACACGGUCCAGACUCCUACGGGAGGCAGCAGUAGGGAAUCUUCCGCAAUGGGCGAAAGCCUGACGGAGCAACGCCGCGUGAGUGAUGAAGGUCUUCGGAUCGUAAAACUCUGUUAUUAGGGAAGAACAAAUGUGUAAGUAACUAUGCACGUCUUGACGGUACCUAAUCAGAAAGCCACGGCUAACUACGUG